Oncorhynchus tshawytscha (Chinook salmon) is the source of this 2983-nucleotide long non-coding RNA. Lineage: Eukaryota; Metazoa; Chordata; Actinopteri; Salmoniformes; Salmonidae. The record is from Ensembl.
GACAGUUUUGUUAUAAAACACAAGUCACAAAUUAAUAAAUAUGGACAAUGUCAUCAUUUACACAAGUAAUUCAGGAUAUAAAAUAAAUUAGAAAGAAAUACAUUAUUUUAAAAAGUGAGUUUUUUUUCUCUUUGGUGCAAGCAAUAGAUAGCAUUAUACUCUAUGCCUCUAUAUGCAUAGUGCUGCAUUCAUUGAGAUUUGAAACACAUAGAAACCCACAGAGCAGCAUGCCACAGGCUCAUCUAGUCACAUGACUUCCUGGUUCCCAUGGUAACCACGGUCAAGGCUACAGGCUACUGUCUGUACAAUAGGGUCAAGAGCACAAGGUGGCAUUAGUGAAUUGGCACUGUAGUGCUAAUCAGUGUCUUUGGCAAUAGUUAUCCUUCUUGGAAGAUCUGACUUAGUAGCUGUCCGCAGCAAACAAGAUAUGAGGGACUACACAGAUCGAGAUGGAGGGUUGAGAAAACGCUGUUGUAGAGUAGAGCAGUCUCACUAGCAGUAAGAUAGGCCUAGAUAUAUAAAUAUAUGGAUAUGCCUACACACUGAUGGUUCCUUCUUGGUUUAUAAAGCCAUUGGCAGUGUAGCCUACUGUUGAAUCACCAGCAGACUGCAUGGUCAAUGUCUAAACCUGACACAGAGCACAGGACUGGCCUUAGCUUCUCUGACUGAUGCUUCUGGUAGGCAGGCUGCAGUGGUUAUAAUAGACAUGCCAUCUAGGUCAUGGGAUGGUUGAGGGACAGAUAUGUGGUGGACCGAUCGUUCCCCAAUCACCACUACUAGAAGAACAACGCAGUCCAGUGAUGUUGCUGAUUUGUAAUGUAAUAUUGGUAGGGAAAAAGACAGAUGAAUUAGGCUCACUGCCUGAGUACUGCAUGUCUGUCAAGUCUUCUGUCAAGUCUUAUAAUCCACAUUAUAAUCCACAUUAUAAUCCACAUUUCCUGGUGCUGCUGCAGGAUUCAUUUAUUUUCUGUAGCAAACUGGCUCAAAUGAAGCUCCUCCAUCUGUCAAUGUUGUGGACCAUAUUCUGCCAGGGGAGUAAACAGGUGGUUCAACUCGCCUUCACUUUAAUGACUCAUUAGAACGUGAACAACGACAGAUGCUUGGGAGGGAGGAAUGAUUGUCUAUGAAUUGACCAUUUACAUUAUGAUCUGUUUACAUGCUGCCCACAAGUCCUUAGACUGGCAGUCGUAGUGUGGUGGAUGUCGCUGUGCUUAGUUUAGAAGCAGCGUCACACCAGGUCAGGGAGUCAAGGGAGAUCUUACAUUCAUUGUCCAUUCAGGGGUAUAGGAAGAUAUGGUUUGGUAGGAUAUAGUAUGGUAGGCUAUGUUAUGGUAGGGUAUGAUAGGGAACUGUAUGGUAUAGUAUGGUAGGUAAUAUGGUAUUGUAGGGUAUAGGAAGAUAUGGUUUGGUAGGAUAUGGUUUGGUAGGAUAUAGUAUGGUAGGCUAUGUUAUGGUAGAGUAUGGUAGGGAACUGUAUGGUAUUGUAUGGUAGGGUAUAGUAUGGUAGGGUAUGUUAUGGUAGGGUAUGUUAUGGUAGGGAAAUGUAUGGUAUGGUUGGGCAUAGUAUGGUAGGAUGUGGUAGGAUAUGGCAUGGUAGGAUAUGGUAUUGUAUGGUAGGAUAUGGUAUUGUAGGGUAUGGGAGGGUAUAGGAAGAUAUAGUUUGGUAGGCUAUGUUAUGGUAUACUAUUGUAUGGUAGGGUACUGUAUAGUAUGGAAGGAUAUGGUAUGGUAGGAUAUAUGGUAUUGUAGGGUAUAGUAUGGUAGGAUAUAUGGUAUGGUAGGGUAUAGGAAGAUAUGGUUUGGUAGGCAAUGCUAUGAUAGGGUAUAGUAUGGUAGGAUAUGGUAUUGUAUUGCAUGGUAGGAUAUGGUAUUGUAGGAUAUGGUAUUGUAUGGUAGGAUAUGGUAUAGUAGCGUAUGGUAGGAUAUGGUAGGGUAUGGUAUGGUAUUGUAGGGUAUGGUAUUGUAGGGUAUAAUAAUGUAGGGUAGGGUAUAAUGAUGUAUGGUAGGAUAUGGUAGUAGGGUAGGAUAAGGUAUGGUAGUAUAUGGUAUUGUAGGGUAUAGUAUGGUAGGAUAUGGUAUAGUAGGGUAGGAUGUGGUAUGGUAGGAUAUUGUAAUGUAGGGUAUGGUAUGAUAUAGUAUUGUAGGGUAUAAAAUUGUAUGGUAGGAUAUGGUAUUCUAUGGUAGGGUGGUGUGUUAUGGUAGGAUAGUGUAAGAUAUGGUAUGUUAUGAUAUAGCAAUCCAACUGCAAUGGAUACCUAGGCUGCUAUGCUAAAUUAUUAACAGGGUAGAGCUGGAAAGAUAAACUGAAAAAAUGUAGACACCGACCAUACCGGUAACAUUGCAGACAUUUUACUGAUAUCCUUCAUUACGAUAAGUAGCCCAUUCUAGACAAAUGUGAUGUUGAAAUUAAAUAACUUUGUUAAUAUGGGUGAAUGUUCUUGGGACAAUUGAUGGCCACAACCAUCAAACUAGCAGUAGUAGUUUAAAGGAGAAUAGGAAACUGUGGUGUACAUUAAUGUUAGAAACUGUGGUGCACAUGAAUGUUAGAAACUGUGGUGCACAUUAAUGCUAGAAACUGUGGUGCACAUGAAUGUUAGAAACUGUGGUGCACAUUAAUGCUAGAAACUGUGGUGCACAGUAAUGCUAGAAACUGUGGUGCACAUUAAUGCUAGAAACUGUGGUGCACAUUAAUGCUAGAAACUGUGGUGCACAUUAAUGCUAGAAACUGUGGUGCACAUUCAUGUUAGAAACUGUGGUGCACAUUAAUGCUAGAAACUGUGGUGCACAUUAAUGCUAGAAACUGUGGUGCACAUUGUUAGAAACUGUGGUGCACAUUGUUAGAAACUGUGGUGCACAUUGUUAGAAACUGUGGUGCACAUUAAUGCUAGAAACUGUGGUGCACAUUAAUGCUAGAAACUGUGGUGCACAUUAAUGCUAGAAACUGUGGUGCACAUUAAUGAUAGAAACUGUGGUGCACAUUCAU